AUUGAACGCUGGCGGCAGGCCUAACACAUGCAAGUCGAACGGAGUGGCGGACGGGUGAGUAACGCGUAGGUAACUGCCUCAUAGCGGGGGAUAACUCUUGGAAACGAUAGCUAAUACCGCAUACUGUGAGAUGGACCUGCGUUGUAUUAGCUAGUUGGUGAGGUAAAGGCUCACCAAGGCGACGAUACAUAGCCGACCUGAGGGGUGGAUCCGCCGGACUGGGACGGAGACACGGGCCAGACACCGACUGGAGGCAGCAGUGGGGGAUCUUGGGCAAUCGGCGGAAGUCUGGCCGAGCAGCGGGGGGGGAGUGAAGAAGGUUAUCGGAUCGUAAAGCUCUGUUGUUUGAGUAGCGGUAACUAACCAGAAAGGCACGGCUGACUACGUGCCAGCAGCCGCGGUAAUAC
This 407-nucleotide ribosomal RNA is filed under the name uncultured bacterium. RNAcentral's name for it is "partial 16S ribosomal RNA". It matches the Rfam family "Bacterial small subunit ribosomal RNA", at positions 29 to 526 of the family's 1533-position model. The record is from RNAcentral.